AUGGACAUGGCGGGUCCAAGAUGGAAGAAGGGCAAAGACGGCAAGGACUUUGCAGCUCUGGCAGCAGCUCACCCCAUGUCAAGCAUUGUUGCUGAGCUCCAGUCCUCGCUGAAAGGCUCGAAACUUGUGGCAACUUUAUCUAGUCGGGGCAGGGAUGCGACCCUCGGUGUGAAUCUGCAGCAAGCUUUACUUCUUAACCGUGCUGCCUUUGGCCGCGUGCUGGAUACUGCCGAAGCAGAGAAACCGUGGUUCCAGCUGGGGGCUGAGGAGGUCUUCUAUCUUUACCAUGGUUUGAAGUGCAUCUCAGUGUCGGAGAGCAAGAAGCUGUUGAGUGAAGGGGAGCUGUGGGAUCACUUAUGCUCCGCAUCAGAGUCAUUUCCUGAGAUGUACAAGGCAUACUCACAUCUCAGAUCGAAGAACUGGGUGGUGCGGUCAGGUUUGCAGUAUGGCGCAGAUUUUGUAGCUUACCGUCAUCACCCAGCACUCGUCCACUCAGAGUUUGCUGUGGUUGUAGUUCCAGAAGGAGUGGAGUUCGGCGGUAGGUGUGGCCGCCUAAUGUUGUGGUCUGACCUUCUGUGUGCACUCCGAGCCUCUGGCAGUGUGGCCAAGACAUUGUUGGUUCUGACAGUCUCCAGCAGUAUUUGUGAACUGAGCUCCCCAGACUGUUUAGAACAACUGGUUGUUCAUGAGAGAACAAUUACUAGGUGGAUAGCCCAGCAGUGCCGUGAGCAGCGAUGUGAACCAUCCAGAGAAGAAGCAAAUAAGGAAGAACAGGAUCACACACGAGAAAGAGUAGUUUUCAACUAUUGGGGUGUAAUACUAGGCUUCACAGUUCUUUCUAGCUUACUUGUAUACAAACUGAUAUUCUGA
RNAcentral lists this ribosomal RNA (870 nucleotides) under Triticum aestivum (bread wheat). RNAcentral's name for it is "partial small subunit ribosomal RNA". Lineage: Eukaryota; Viridiplantae; Streptophyta; Magnoliopsida; Poales; Poaceae. The record is from RNAcentral.